GCUGGGUGUGGUGGCGCAUGCCUGUAGUCCCAGCUGCUCAGGAGGCUGAGGCAGGAGAAUCACUUGAACCCAGGAGGCAGAGGUUGCAGUGAACCGAAAUCACAUCACUGCACUCCAGCCUGGGUUACAGAGUGAGACUCUGUCUCAA
Macaca mulatta (Rhesus monkey) is the source of this 148-nucleotide unclassified non-coding RNA. It matches the Rfam family "Metazoan signal recognition particle RNA". From Rfam's summary of the family: The signal recognition particle (SRP) is a universally conserved ribonucleoprotein. It is involved in the co-translational targeting of proteins to membranes. The eukaryotic SRP consists of a 300-nucleotide 7S RNA and six proteins: SRPs 72, 68, 54, 19, 14, and 9. NCBI's taxonomy places the organism in Eukaryota, Metazoa, Chordata, Mammalia, Primates, Cercopithecidae. The record is from Ensembl.